AUCGGGGUAGAUUGAUGCGCGUUAAGUGCAGCGGAAACGGAAUGUGGGUCGCUGACGAAACACGCUUGUGUGCGGUGCAUCAAUCACAUUCACCAAU
Non-coding RNA from Leuconostoc pseudomesenteroides PS12, 97 nucleotides. Lineage: Bacteria; Bacillati; Bacillota; Bacilli; Lactobacillales; Lactobacillaceae. The record is from Rfam.